Molecule: long non-coding RNA, 1361 nt
Organism: Brassica napus (rape)
Lineage: Eukaryota; Viridiplantae; Streptophyta; Magnoliopsida; Brassicales; Brassicaceae
Exons: 2
Source: RefSeq, a predicted model, not a curated record
AAAGCUCAAUAGUCUUCUCGUACUGGCUAAUCUCCUUAGGAGUGCUUUCAGGUGCAUCACCUGACAAAUCUGCAGCAGCAUUGCAAACAACUCGGCUGCUCCUGUAAAGUUUACAACGAACAUGUUAAACAAGAAGCUAACUUGAACUUGACGCACAUCUAACCAGGGCCGUCCCUGAGCCAUGCUAUGUGAAAGGCCCCAAAAAGAAAAAUUUUAGACCUUCGAAUUUGUAAAAAAAAAAUUUUUACAUAGACACAGACACACAUGUUCCUAAAAUCUUAGAGCCGGCCCAUCUAACUAAAAAAAUUACAUCAAUGGAUGAACUUUAUUUAGUCCCCAAUAAAGUACCUGGAGGAAGCUGACUCGAGAGCAAAGACAGAGCGUAACGGUCUACAACUGUUCUGAAUCCUUAAACUUACUCCAGCUUUACCAACGGGAAACAACUUGAGAGAAUCUGAAAUAAACACAGAGAAAUGGAUUCAUCAGCAACAAAAAAAGCCAGAGACUUUGUGUUAGAUUAAAGAAUCUCUGAUGUUAUUAUAUACCAGAAUUCUGGAGAUAGAGGCCAUGGAGAGGGUUUAAGGAUCACAGAGAAAGAGAAGAAAAUGAAAUAAAGAAGAUGACUCCAAAGAAGCAGGAGGAAAAUGUUUUUUUUUUUUGGAGCCUUGUGUGAUUUGGUGGAAGAUGACAAGAGCCACACAUUUUUUUUUAACUCAAUCUGCACAAAAUAUCUCAAGAAAAAUAUUUAAAUCUUUUACCAUAUUGGGAUUAACGAAGAGUGUGCUUGUCACAUCGGAGUUGUCUGCCUUCCCGCCGGACUUUAUGCCGUUUUGGAGAUGACACGUAAGAUGAUUAUCAUUUACCAAUCACCCCCAAUCUGGUCUGUAUUAAAUUAGCAUUUGAAAUGAUUAUUCACAAUAAUAAAUAAAUAUAUUCAAAUAUUAGUUUUUUUGAAAAAAAAUUCAAAAUAUUAUUAACCGAAUCCAAAAUGAAUUUGCAUUUAAAAUGAUUUUUUUUAGAAAAUUAUUUUUAAAAAAAUUUCCUAAUAAAAAAUAUGAUUAACCAAACCUAACUCGAACAUAUAUCAAUCCAAUCCAAAUAUAACCCGAACGUCCAUGUGAACUACACUUUGGCGUGGCAGCCCUGAUUUGUAUUUGGCUCUACCUACAUUUUUUUAGUUUCAGUUCCUUUUUCAAAUAUAUACAACAUAUAUCAGAAGAAAAUUCAACAACCAAGAGUAGUUUGAUUAUUUUUAUAACAUUUGUUCAAACUGGAGAGUGAAAAUGAAGUUUUUGUUACAAGUCACACAAAUCACAAGCCAAUAAUAUUAAAAAAAAAAAACAAAGAUCAGAUGUUGGAAC